RNAcentral lists this transfer RNA (84 nucleotides) under Nanobdellota archaeon. Its description in RNAcentral is "Nanoarchaeota archaeon tRNA-Leu". It matches the Rfam family "tRNA". Rfam says of the family: Transfer RNA (tRNA) molecules are approximately 80 nucleotides in length. Their secondary structure includes four short double-helical elements and three loops (D, anti-codon, and T loops). RNAcentral also lists the same sequence under 1 other name. Lineage: Archaea; Nanobdellati; Nanobdellota. The record is from RNAcentral.
GCGGGGGUGGCGGAGUGGUCAAACGCGCCAGGUUCAGGGCCUGGUGGCUUAGUGCCUUCCUGGGUUCGAAUCCCAGCCCCCGCA